GGUCUUCCUCGGAGGCCUCUGAAAGCAUUUGUUUGAUCUCGCUCUCCUAGCAGAAAGCAGGCCACCGGCUUUUGGCUCCAAUAAGCGCGCAAAAGCCCAAAAGCGCCCGGUCGCCCUUUGACAGCUCGUCGUUUGUGGCAAGCGGGCCACGUGUUUAUGUUUAGCUCCACGCAAGCAAAUGAUGGGCUCCCAUGUGCAGAUGAAAGCUAUUUAUGACUCCCACUAUCAGAUUUGCCCCACUCGGAUUUCAUCCCUGAACGGCGCACGGGGGCCGGCCGGCACCGAGCCAGCUUCUACACUCUGGCCCGCAACAUCAUCAAUCUUUCCAUAGACGCCCUCAACAAAAGCUGUUUGGCAUCAACAUACUUUUACUUUCCACUGCUCCCUACCAAGUACGUCAGCACGGCAUUCAGCGCGUUCCUUGGCGACGCUCACGGUACAUCCUGUCCGCUCGUUUGCUGACACCGGGAUGACAUCAUCGCCGGGGCAACCCCCCCCCCCCCGAAAUGUUGCAGACAAAGGCCCCCGAGCAACGUCGGCUAUCCGCACAUCGGCGUGGACGCAGCACUUUUGCAAAUCCCUAACCAGAUUAGCGCCGCGCCGCAAUAGGCUGUCACGCCCGCACACGGCUGGGGAGGCCCGAGGACGUGGUGGGGCGGGGCCCCCUGCGACAUCUAAAUGGGGAGACUUCGUCCUCUUGACUUGUGAAGAAACAGGCCUUCGCUCGCCCUUUAUCUCGGUCCACAGAAGAGCGACUGUUGUUGCUGUUGGUGUGGUCCACGUCAACCAACUGUUUUGUUGUUUGCCGCUUCCAGGACAUCACAAACUUUUAUAUCCCGCCUCCAUCAUCAGGUGCGGUCGUCACGUUUUCAACCCAUUGUGCCCCGACCCUCGCGGCCCGUCGGUGUGUCACUGUUUUGAUGUAGAGCGGGCGUCGUACGGGGCGUUGUCGUAAUGCCGAGGCGGACGCCAACAGCUCCAGCCAGGCCUGAAAAGUGCGUGAAUAGUGGAAAAAGUUUUCAGUCAAAAUGAUUCCUUGACAAGGCAGCCAUUAGGGGGCGACACUGAACAAGAACUGCACAAGCAGGUUUGAGAAGUCAGAGGAGGCCUGAGGAGUCAAAUAAGACCAGCAACAAUUUUUUUUAAAUCCAAUUCAUUAAUUGAUCAUUGAAUGAAUUGAAUACAAUUAAAAUACAACAAAUUG
This is a long non-coding RNA of Syngnathus acus (greater pipefish), 1204 nucleotides long. RefSeq lists it as uncharacterized. The transcript is spliced from 4 exons. The record is from RefSeq and is a predicted model, not a curated record. NCBI's taxonomy places the organism in Eukaryota, Metazoa, Chordata, Actinopteri, Syngnathiformes, Syngnathidae.